This 247-nucleotide ribosomal RNA is filed under the name uncultured bacterium. RNAcentral's name for it is "partial 16S ribosomal RNA". It matches the Rfam family "Bacterial small subunit ribosomal RNA", at positions 524 to 767 of the family's 1533-position model. The record is from RNAcentral.
UACGUAGGGGGCAAGCGUUGUCCGGAGUUACUGGGCGUAAAGCGCACGCAGGCGGUCUUUUAAGUUUGGAGUGACAGUUGGUGGCUUAACUGCCAAAGUGCUUCGAGAACUGAAAGACUUGAGGGCUUCAGAGGGACACGGAAUUCCGGGUGGAGUGGUGAAAUGCGUAGAGAUCCGGAGGAACACCAAAGGCGAAGGGCAGUGUCCUGGGGAGUACCUGGACGCUCCAGGUGCGAAAGCCAGGGGA